Molecule: small nuclear RNA, 136 nt
Organism: Mustela erminea (ermine)
Lineage: Eukaryota; Metazoa; Chordata; Mammalia; Carnivora; Mustelidae
Product: U4 spliceosomal RNA
Exons: 1
Source: RefSeq, a predicted model, not a curated record
CUUUGAAAGCAGUGGCAGUAUCGUAGCCAAUGAGGUUUAUCCGAGGCGCGAUUAUUGCUAAUUGAAAACCCUUAGAGUGCUGUAAUUAAGAAAGCUUGCAGAGCAUAUGAAAUACAUUUGGGGGGCACCUGGGUGG